RNAcentral lists this ribosomal RNA (1017 nucleotides) under Triticum aestivum (bread wheat). Its description in RNAcentral is "partial small subunit ribosomal RNA". Lineage: Eukaryota; Viridiplantae; Streptophyta; Magnoliopsida; Poales; Poaceae. The record is from RNAcentral.
AUGUUCGCCCUCCGCAAAACCCUGCUCCACGGCCGCCUCCCCGCGCCGCCGGCCACCGCCGCCUCCAGGAUCUCCUCCUUCCUCCGCUCCCUCUCCACAUCUCCGGGGGGCGAGGGGGUCGGGGACGAAUGGGGCUCCUCCUGGUCCACCGGCAUCACCAAGGACCACUUCGACGGGUCCGCCUCCGCCGUCGGGCGCCCCUCCCCGUCCGCCCCCGUCUCCAAGGAGCUGGCGGCCGUCCGCACCAUGGACGAGGAGGAUGAGAUCCUGCGCUCCGUGGAUCGCGACAACAAGGAAGGGAGGGCGUACGUCGACUCGUGGGACAAGCGUUUUCACGAGACGUGCGAGCUGCUGAAGCAGGUGCGGGAGCCGGGAUCCCGGGGCGCCUACCUCAAGGACUCGGAGAAGCAGGAGAUGUACCGGCUGCACAAGGAGGACCCCGCGACCUACACCGUGGAGCGGCUCGCCAAGGACUUCCGCGUGAUGCGGCAGCGCGUGCACGCCAUCCUCUGGCUCAAGGAGAUGGAGGAGGAGGAGGAGAGGAAGCAGGGCAAGCCGCUCGACGACUCCGUCGAGAUCCUGCUAGACAGCUGCCCAGAGUUUUUCAAUUCCCAUGACAGGGAAUUUCAUGUGGCAUCUCUUCCAUAUAAACCUGACUUCAAAGUUAUGCCUGAGGGCUGGGAUGGCACGACAAAAGAUCCUGAUGAGGUCCUGUAUGAGAUUUCAAUGAAGGAAGAUCAGAUGUUAUAUGAGGAAUUUGUUCAACGCUUGGAGUUCAACAAGAAAAAGGUGGCAGGAGAGGUGAAGUGCCACAAGUACAGCAGGCGACGACCAGACGAUGGAUGGGCCUACAUGGUCGAGAAGCUUGGGCCACAGGGAAGGCGUGGUUCAGGAGGGGGCUGGAAGUUCAUCAGUUUGCCUGAUGGGUCGAGCCGUCCUCUGAAUGACACGGAGAAGAUGUAUGUGAAGAGGGAGACUCCGAAACGGCGGAGGAGGAUCAUUGCUCCAUACAAGUAA